UUGAACCCCUGGGCUCAAGCGAUCCCCCUGCUUAGACCUCCCAAAGUGCUAGGAUUACAGGCAUAAGCUAUGGUGCUCCGCAAAGAAAGGGAGUUCUGGUCUGGGUCUGAAGUAGGACUAGGAGUUCAGGGCAGAUGUGGGAAUCUGAAGGAUCCUGAGAUGGUGCCAAAGAAGUGGAGAGGUGAGGCCCAGCCCUGGGGCUUGUAAAGCAGGAGGGGAGCUUCUGGGGAGAGAGUGGAGGUUCUAAAACAAAGUCUGAUUAAUGUAAGGUAGGCCUUCAGGGUCCUAGAAGACAGGCCUUGAAAUCCAGGCAUCCCCCAGUAGGCCUGGGGAUCAUGCACAGAAGACUUGGGGCCUUAGAAGAAAGAUCUAGAAUUCCAGGGAGAGCUUGAGAGCCCUUAAUGGGUUUGGGGGUUCUAAAAGUGAGGUUUAGAGCUCCAAGAGGUGGGGUCUCAGGUCCUGGGGAAGAGUGUCUUAGCCAAAGAGUCUUCAAGAUGAAACCUAAGGCCCUGGUGCGGGACUCAAGGUCCCAGGGGCGUGAAGUCUGGAAGCCCUGGAUGAGGACUAAUCUGUCACGGCGGCGCCCUACCUCUUCUUCCGGCCCGGCUCGUCAUGGCGGCGCCCUGAGUAGCCACUUCCGCCCUCUUCUGGCUAAAUUGCUUCAUCCCUAUUUCCGGCUUGCCAUGGCAGCGCUCGGGGUUUAACGGAAGUAAGCAAUGGAAAGUAUGGUGGUGCCUCGGGUCCAAAGAGAAUGCGCCGCUGAGUUGCGCGGCACCUGACGGGAUUGAGCCUCAGACACAAGCGCUCCAAAUCUCCGACUGUAGCUGGUGGGAAGCGCCUGCUGUUGCUGCAGCGUCUCAACAUGUUGUUCCCAUUUUCGUUGGGUGCUGUAGCGGUAGGCUGUUGGGCUCAGGGAUAGGGGGCCUGAUUCCUAACGCCGCGCUGCCACCAUCGGCCUUGCGCAGACGCUGAUAAUCCCCCUGGCACCCAGGUUCAUGCGAGCGCUUGGAACAGGAGGGAAGAGGGAGUCAAACCAAGAGCCGAACUAAUUCGGCUUGGGCCUGCCAUUUACCCAGCCUGGGACCCAGACGUUUCCCCAUCCCUUAGCGUACGCCAGGACAGACAUGGCGUUUAAUCCUGACUCCAUGAGACUAUCAAGCUAGUUACUUCCUCUCUUUGUAAUUAAUUCCUCCUAAUGUAGCAACAUUUCCCCCUUCCUUCUCAUCUGUCUUAAAAGUGUGAGGUUAGACCUGGGCGUGAGUUUCCCCACAUAAGAGACUGGAUAUCCCCUGGUCAGAGAACUGAGCAUCAGUCCUGCCGUUUCGUUUGCAGAUCUUUCAAGACUCUAGUCAAAAUGAGCAGAACAUUUUGCAGUUAAUCAUAGAGUUGAAGAUGAACGAGAAGAUGAACGAGAGCUACUUGAUUGUGAACUAGUAACGACCACUUGGAGUCGCAGUGUGUCUGUAAAAUGAUGAUGACAGUGACAUCAUAGAGGACAUAGUGCAAGUGAACAGUUUGAUACUGAGCUUGGAGCCUCAGUAGUUCUGGAUAAGUGAGAGCUGUACGGGAGGUUGUAACCAUGAGCUACCCUGGUUGGCAGUUGACAUCCGAGGACCAGCACUGGUCAUCGCACAGAAAGAAAACUUUACACCUUGAGAUCCCUCCAUUCUUCUUAAACUUCCAAGUGUAUGUUUGAUGGGAGAAGAGGGGAAGGGAUCAACAUUUAAAGGCUCUGGAAGGAGUCAGAUAACUGUUUUUGGCUUCAAAUGUAGAAUGAAUCCCUAGA
RNAcentral lists this long non-coding RNA (1786 nucleotides) under Homo sapiens (human). RNAcentral's name for it is "HSALNT0305124". The record is from RNAcentral. Lineage: Eukaryota; Metazoa; Chordata; Mammalia; Primates; Hominidae.